UACGGAGGGGGUUAGCGUUGUUCGGAAUUACUGGGCGUAAAGCGCACGUAGGCGGAUAUUUAAGUUAGAGGUGAAAUCCCAGGGCUCAACCCUGGAACUGCCUUUAAUACUGGAUGUCUUGAGUUCGAGAGAGGUAAGUGGAAUUCCAAGUGUAGAGGUGAAAUUCGUAGAUAUUUGGAGGAACACCAGUGGCGAAGGCGGCUUACUGGCUCGAUACUGACGCUGAGGUGCGAAAGCGUGGGGAGCAAACAGG
This 253-nucleotide ribosomal RNA is filed under the name uncultured bacterium. RNAcentral describes it as "partial 16S ribosomal RNA". It matches the Rfam family "Bacterial small subunit ribosomal RNA", at positions 524 to 776 of the family's 1533-position model. The record is from RNAcentral.